CCUGCCCCGGCACAAUCCCCCCCCGUUGCCGGGUUACGACGGCCCGCGCACACCCCCCCCGAGGCGCGGGCCGUCCCUU
Corynebacterium callunae DSM 20147 is the source of this 79-nucleotide non-coding RNA. The record is from Rfam. NCBI's taxonomy places the organism in Bacteria, Bacillati, Actinomycetota, Actinomycetes, Mycobacteriales, Corynebacteriaceae.